Long non-coding RNA from Ailuropoda melanoleuca (giant panda), 3282 nucleotides. RefSeq lists it as uncharacterized. Lineage: Eukaryota; Metazoa; Chordata; Mammalia; Carnivora; Ursidae. The record is from RefSeq and is a predicted model, not a curated record. The transcript is spliced from 5 exons.
GGGAGCAAGAUGGCUGCCACCUAGCCCGUGCUGUUCGUUGUUGAGCCAGCGUGGGGGCUCCAUUGAGGCGAACCGGUCGGGUCUCUUGUGGUUCUGCUCCUCCAGCCUGUGAGCAGCGCCCGCGACCUAAGGGCUUUGCUGGGCCUAGCGCUGCCCAGAACCCGUUCCCCUCUGACCGUGGUCUCGGAGAGUUGGUGAGAUGUGUUACUGUGACCUCGGACAGCAUUCCAGACUCUCAUGCCCAUUCAUUCCGUAAACUCCGCAGUCCUGGCCCCUUAGAGGAAGGAGUUCACAGAAUAGCUGGGGAAUUAUGGAAACAUCCUUACCGCAGGAGCUGUGACUUAUAGAAGAGAGUCAAACUGGAAGCAAUGAAGGUAUCACGGUAACCAGAGGCUAGAUGUAGGUCUGAAACGGAAUGGGGGAGGAGAGUACCUCACAGGUCAUUUUGUAUACCUGAAAGACGAGGGACUCCUCCUUCCCCUCCCUGCUGCUGUCUUGCUAAGUGUGGCACCAGCUUGUACCAAGAGUGCGGAGAGCAUUGCUACGUUGCAGGGGGGCUGGCAGAGGAGGUGGACGACAAAGUUCUUCAUGCUGCUUUUGUUCCUUUUGGAGACGUCACAGAUACUUAGUUUCUUCUGGUGAAACAGAAUUCUGAGCUCAGAUCCGAAGAUCAUGCCAGCGCAGAACUUCCUGUUGGUGUUGACAGAAAAGAAGUGUGUGGUGGCUUAGGGAGUUCGUGGUUAGCUGUGUGCUUAGCUUGCCAUUGGGGGCUGUGGGCUCCCAGCAUAGACUUCUUGGAAGCAAAUGGAAUCUUUUUUUUUUUAAACCUAAACAAGGUUGAAGCAGCUGAGUUGUAUUGCAGUUGUUUUCAGAGUGAAUUGAAUUCUUCGGACAGACCAUUUGUGUCCAUUUAGCCAACCUGGUGAGAAUUAAGGAAGGCUCAUCUUUGGCCUCUGCUGCUUUUUAUCCUGGCCUCACUUCCUGGGCGGCGGCGUAGAGAGCUGUACGGUAGAGGAGAGAACGCGGUGCCUCUGUGGGAACAGAGUGGGGAUUCUCUGCGAAGCUAGAGCCACUGUCUCCGUGAAAGUCUUGCUCUGGGAUGUGGACACAGACUGCGCCCUUCCAGCCUUGACAGUGGCUGGGCCUUCCCUGUUGGCUCGGCUCAGUCCUCCUCUGUCUCAUCUGCCCCUGCCUCUGUGGAGAGCGGAACCUGAAGGCCUGACAUUUCCAGUGACAGCUUCCCUGUCCUAAGAGGUAACUUCUGCCAGUGAGAGCCCCACGGGGCAUCCGCUCUGCUGACAAGGCAGCGAAGAACUGGGCACAGCUAGGGAGCAGUUGGCCGACAGCUUGAAUGUCUUAGCACGUGUUCCAUUAUUUUCCUUUCGGCGUGGGCAGAUGAUGACUGGCUGAAGAAGUUUUCUGGGAAGACUCUUGAAGAGAAUAAGGAGGAAUAAGGGUCGGAGCCCCCCAAAGUGGAAACCCAGGAGGGCGAGCCCGUGGCAAAGAAGGCCCGGUCCAACCCUCAGGUGUACAUGGACAUCAAGAUCGGCAACAAGCCGGCCGGCCGCAUCCAGAUGCUGCUGCAUGCCGACGUUGUUGCCAUGACAGCAGAUACAUCCCCCCCCCCACUGUGCCAGUAGAGAGGAGGUUGACGUCAUGCCUCUGGACCCCCACAUAGCUGAGUGUCUAUUUCCUAAGAACAAGAACGUUCCCUUGUGAGAUCACGGCGCGACCCUCAGAAGCAGGAACUGGAGCGUCCGUGCGCUGUUUACUCGUCUUCAGGCUGCGUUCAGAUUUCCUCACCUUCCCCGGGAUGGUCCUUUCCAGUAACCAUAGCGGUUGUCCUUCCCUGGCAGGGACUCAUGCUGCACGACAGGGUCGCGUCUCUUUGGUCUCCCUCUGUUCGGAGCAGGGUCUUUGUUUCUCAGUGUCUUCCUUGAUCUCCGUGACUCUGAGGAUCGCAGGCCCGUUUUUACGAUGGUUUCUGAGUUUGCCUGGCGCUUGUCGGCGUGACGCGGCGGGAGCGCCUCACAGGGGCGUCUUGGAGGAUGUGCGUCAUGACGUCACUUCUUUGGCCACUUGCUCAAGGAGACGGCUGCCAGCUUUCUCCACUGGAAAGGGGCUAUUUGUAUGGCGAUACAUUAAAAGCUAACAUUUUUUUCUCCUUUCGGCCUCCAGCGCAUCUGAGGUGACUGCUAUCACAGGUGUUGUGGGUUUCCUAUUUUCCUAAAUAUUCUUAAUGACAGUUUUUACCCAUAAUCCUUUUUUUUGUUUAAAUCUAGCCUUUUAAAAAAUGUUUAGUGAAGUCAUCAUUGCACGUAGUUUAGAGAAAAUUUUCCUGUAAAAUUUGUUAGACCGUGAUGUUCUCCCCCCACAUCGUCAUCUUUCUGCCCGCCAAAGGCAACCUUCAUUUUUUCAAGGGUUAAUUUUGGCUUCUAUUGCUCUGUCUCUGAAACACAUACUCAAGUUACUGCUACUUGAUUUUUUUUUUUCUUUUUCAGUUUUUGGCUGUUUUAGGUCAGACUUUUUGGGAAACAGACUCCUGGAGGAUUGCAUGCAGAAAGCUUAUCAGGGAGGGAUCUCAGGGACAACUGCAAGGCCGUGGGAGCAGAUUGGGGAGAGAGCGAAACAGCCACCGUGCAGUCACACCAGGGCUUAGCUCGUCCCAGGGGGCCCUGGAGCUUCGAUAGCCCUUCUGACUGGUUCUGAGUUGAGGCUUGGAGGCCAGGCCUCUGAACCCCCCCCCCCACCGCAAUCAUGAAUUCUGAAUGAUUCCCAGGAGGGGUGGGCAGCUCCAUUCCGCUGAGGGCAUUUCCUGGGACGGAACUUCUCUCGGGGCUGGUAGCUCUCGUGCUCCUGAGAGGUGAGAGAGUGAGCAUGUUGGUCUUGAAGGAGAUCUCAGUGGCUUCCCCAGGCGUCCCUUGCAGUCCACCUCGCCCACCACUUAGAUUCUCCUUGGCCACUGUGCCUCAGUCUCCUGUGUCCUCCCGCCGACCUCUCAGGUGUGUCGGGACCCAGAGCUCAACCCUUGCUUUGCUUCUCUUCCCUCGCUCUUCCCUUCGUGGUUUCUUAACCUCUUAGCCCAGUGCCCGCCUCUUAGACCUGAUUCUUUUCUAGGCAGAAAUGAAGGUCCCAGCUCAUAGAUCCUUCCAACACACAGUUUUUUGUUCUGUUUUGUUUUUAAAGAUUUUAUUUAUUUAUUUGACAGAGAGAGACAGCCAGCGAGAGAAGGAACACAAGCAGGGGGAGUGGGAGAGGAAGAAGCAGGCUCUUAGCAGAGGA